AGAAGACCUUCUUCUUCUUCUUCUUGGACUUUUCCUUCCACUUCUUCUUCUUUUCCUUCUUUUCUUUCUUCUCCUCCUUCUUCUCCUUCGUUUCUUUCUUUUCUUUCUUAGAGAGAGAGAGAGAAGAGUGAGAGAGAGGGAGAGAGCAACUGAGAGGGAGGGAGAGGGGUCCCCCACCUCUAAUAAAGGCCCUUUUGCAGUUAGCCC
This 207-nucleotide long non-coding RNA is filed under the name Ananas comosus (pineapple). Its description in RNAcentral is "long non-coding RNA (ACOM_LNC040920)". The record is from RNAcentral. Lineage: Eukaryota; Viridiplantae; Streptophyta; Magnoliopsida; Poales; Bromeliaceae.